UGGGGAAUUUUGCGCAAUGGGGGAAACCCUGACGCAGCGACGCCGUGUGAAUGAUGAAGCCUUUCGGGGUGUAAAGUUCUGUCAGCAGAGAAGAUAGUGACGGUAUCUGCAGAGGAAGCUCCGGCUAAUUAUGUGCCAGCAGCCGCGGUAAUACAUAAGGAGCGAGCGUUAUCCGGAUUUACUGGGCGUAAAGGGCGCGUAGGCGGCGAGAUAAGUUAGGUGUUAAAGGUUUCGGCUCAACUGGAACAUGCACCUAAGACUGUUUUGCUAGAGAGUGGGAGAGGAAAGUGGAAUUCACAGUGUAGCGGUGAAAUGCGUAGAUAUUGUGAAGAACACCAGUGGCGAAGGCGGCUUUCUGGACCACAUCUGACGCUGAGGCGCGAAAGCGUGGGGAGCAAACAGG
Molecule: ribosomal RNA, 403 nt
Filed under: uncultured bacterium
Lineage: Bacteria
Description: bacterial SSU rRNA
Rfam family: Bacterial small subunit ribosomal RNA
Source: RNAcentral